Molecule: non-coding RNA, 46 nt
Filed under: Trichobilharzia regenti
Lineage: Eukaryota; Metazoa; Platyhelminthes; Trematoda; Strigeidida; Schistosomatidae
Source: RNAcentral
GUACUGCCAAGGAGUCUCAAAACAGGACGAAACAGCUGUCCAGUAC